This is a long non-coding RNA of Olea europaea var. sylvestris, 3367 nucleotides long. RefSeq lists it as uncharacterized. NCBI's taxonomy places the organism in Eukaryota, Viridiplantae, Streptophyta, Magnoliopsida, Lamiales, Oleaceae. The record is from RefSeq and is a predicted model, not a curated record. The transcript is spliced from 2 exons.
UAAUUGGACAUGUGUGGGUGGCAUCUUGAUAUUUCUGGAACAAAGAAAAAGCAAAAAAUUUACAGAUCUCUUCAAAUGUACAUUUUCUAUCACAAUUUCUAUUUAAACGCAAAGAGAUCCUUGACGAGAAUUGAAAUUUAUUUUAUUCUCCAUUGCGAAUGAUUAAGUAGAUUCCCAACACUUAUAGACACCAUAUAGACAUAUCAAAUUAAAGUGAUUGACCUUAGAAUUUCAAUCUCCUUUGUCAUGUCUGCAUCUCGUCUUUUUUAGGACUACUAAUUUCUAUGAAGAACCCCAUGAUGAAUAGAAUUACUCAGCUUCUUCUUUGCACAAAAGUUUCCAGUAGCUGCCUCCAAUUCUCCAAAUGAAUAUAUUUUCAGCAUUUCCUCAAUUCCAGCAACUUUAUCUAGGAUAUGCUCCUGUAAUUUCCACAGCUUUCUCCCCUGCCUAUCAUUCGAAGAGGCUUCAUUUGAUCUGGUUUUCCUGUGAUAGAAGAUACAAAGACACAGCACAAGGCAGAAAAUCACUAUAAGAAGCAUCAAUUCCUAUCCCAACAUGAAGUCAUUUAAAGGAUCUUUUAUGCUUUUUAUGUGGAGCACUUGAACUUGGAUUAGAAAAAAACGUUGCCUGAUAGUAUUGACCCGAACAGGAAAAGAUAUAGGAACUACAACAUCUUGGUGGCAAAAUGUCUGAAUUUGAGAUAUUAUUCAAUAGAUUGGUGGCAAAAUUGGAGGAGAAAUGGAGCUCUUUAUUCAAUAGAUUUUAUUAGAUGAUUGUGCAAAGGAUAGGAAGAGACUGAGCAAAGGAUUCUAGGCUGGAUUCUCAUGGUUGGCUAAAAAUAUCAAAUUUCCAUGAAGAAAAUACAGAUUGGUAGGUGUUGAAGGCGAGGAAAAUCUUUUCCAGAAAUCAGUUAUCAGAGGCAGAGAAAAUAAAUGCCGCCAUAGCAUAUUUUGAUGGUGAAACAUGGAAUUGGUAUCAGUAGGCAGAUCAACUAUGAAGAUGGGAAGAAUUGAAGUGUUUGAUGUGGAAUUAAUUUCACCAGAAGAUAUCUCAAUUAUUGAUGAAAUUCCAGUAUGUGAGCCUUGGGGUGGUGAACUAGAAGACAGGGAACUGGAGGACAGAGAAAGAAUAGUCACCAUCACAGAGGAGGAGGAGAAGGAGAAGGAGAAGUAUUGCAAGCCACAUGAUUAUCAAUAUCAGCUGGAUCUAGUGGAAUUUCAGCAGCCGUGGCAGCUACCUAUCAAUUGAUAUCAUGGAGGCAAGGGCACACCGUGAUAGAAAAAAAUUCCUCAACGAGUCAGGUAUGAUGCUUCAUCACGAGAUGUGGAAGGAGGUUAGGAGGGCAUUGAUAAUGGGCUCAUUCUAGGGAAGAUAAUAGAAGAGCAAUUAGUGAAAUUAGUGGAUAUGGAUUGUGUUAGGAAGGUGGCCCAACAAGUUAAUCAAGCCCUAGGCGAAAUGAGCCUAAAUAAAGAAAAGAGAGAUGGCCAAACACAAUCAUUUCACAAAUUCUCAAUCGUUAUUGAGAAAUUUUUUGGUGCUAAGCAUCAUCUGAAGAAGAAAAAAGGGUUAAACCCUUGGGUGAUUAAAAAAAUACUCAAUUAGACAACAUUACAAUAAGGUACGGUAGGUCAAUGAACUUUUGUAGAUGGGGAUGACAUGCUAUGAGCUUUCAAUAGACACUAUAUUAAUAUUAGUGGAUACAUAAAGAAGAUGCUCAGCGACAAGAUAACAAAUGAGCUAGACUUUUUGAUACCUAAAUUUGCAGAGGUAUCUGGACGAGGGAGGGAAAACUCCAAAUGGAGUCAUUACGUAGAAGCUCACCUAAAAUAUUGCAGAGGUAUUUAUGAUGUAUUAUGAGCUUAUUGUGCAUUCAAUAAUUUUGAUAUUUUCUUUACCAUGAGGCUUACGCCUCAAAUCACCUUGAGGCAUAUGCCUCACCUCAAGAAGAACGACUUAGUGCUUGAGCAUGCCUUUCUAAACAUCGAGAAUAAGCUCUGCCAAUAUGUAACAAUCAACACCUGUGUAAUCUCACUGAAACAUUUAAUUAUCUAUUUUUAAAUUGUGAAUUCAGCUGUUAUGGGUAAUCUAUGCAAGGAAACCUUAUGAGUAUUCAAACCCCCAGCUUUUGCACAGGAAUAUCACUAUCUUUUUAUAAAUUUUUUUUUCCUGCUGAAAAUCAAUAUAUUUAGUGAGCCAAACAGACUUACUUUUUACCAUCUAACAAUUACCUGAUAGAUCCGUUUAAUGGUUAUCAACUGACAGUUGGCAUUUAAAGGCAGCUUCCAAUCAAACUCUGGAAAGUGCAUAAUUGGAAGAUCUGAUACCAACAAAAAGAAAAUUUCUCAAGGGAUAUGCAUAUUCUAUCCAUAGAGACACAUGGUACCAUAUGGACAAUAUUGGGCUCCACUGCUAUCCUACUAAUAAGGCAACAUAUUAACAUUCAUAGUGAACAUUGUUGUCACUAUAAAUACGAAAAGUAAGAGCAGCACAACUAUCUUAAAAUCAUUUAACAAUUAGAUUAGGACCACUGAGUUCAUUUAAGCCUGACAAUUAAACUAUAUUCUCAUCCAGUUAUUAGAAUUCAGCACAAGCGUCCCCCUAUAAAUUUGAAGCAGUCGAAGUUCCUACUUGUUCACAUAGCCAGAAAUCUCUUCACACACACUUCUACCCAUUCUUCCAUCUUUUGAUUCUCAAAGGUUUUUAAGAGAAUGGCAAAUGCUCGCCUCUCUAGAUUUAUAAUCGAAGUAGCACCCCCACAGUUUGUAAACCUUAUGAGGCAUCGAGCAUCAAAGAUAUUGGACACAAUUCAUGAAGAGGAAAAGGAUCCCCGCACAAAUGAUUCUCUGUCCCUGUCUCCAAAGAAUUUAUCAACAUCCUCACUCUGCAUCGUUUCAGCUUCAUCUUCUGAAACAAAAAACUCAAGCAUAUUGUCCCCAAAGUUCAAAGGUCUUCGUCUGUAAUCCAUGAUUAGAGUCCUACAUUUUGGGACUAUACACAAUCCUCUGGAAGUUUCAGAUAUAAGAAUAGUCCAUCAAUUUUGGUUCUGUUUAGCUAGUUUGGAUGUCAAAAUAAAUUCAACCAAGGACCAAGACUUGCUGUGACAACAGUACAGAUCUUCCCUGAAAUCUUUUAGUAUGAGGAAGAUCAUAUUGUAAAUCUACUAAUUGGAUAUGCAAACUUAUAGAGUUGGGAUACGAGUUUUUCUUUUCUUCUAUUGCAUAACAACUCUUCCACAUACACGUCCGAAAAGAAGAGAGGCAUCUUCCGGUAGUUAGCAGCAGGUAGGCGUAUAGCUGGACUGAUAACAAAGGUCCAGCCUCUUCUCUUUCUUAACAAGCUUAAUAUACUACAAUAAGAGUUUUGUGUC